GGGCCCAUAGCUCAGUUGGUUAGAGCAGUCGACUCAUAAUCGAUUGGUCGCUGGUUCAAGUCCAGCUGGGCCCA
This 74-nucleotide transfer RNA is filed under the name Rugosibacter aromaticivorans. It matches the Rfam family "tRNA". From Rfam's summary of the family: Transfer RNA (tRNA) molecules are approximately 80 nucleotides in length. The record is from Rfam by way of RNAcentral. Lineage: Bacteria; Pseudomonadati; Pseudomonadota; Betaproteobacteria; Nitrosomonadales; Sterolibacteriaceae. RNAcentral also lists the same sequence under 1 other name.